GAUGAACGCUGGCGGCGUGCUUAACACAUGCAAGUCGAACGAUGAAGCCCAGCUUGCUGGGUGGAUUAGUGGCGAACGGGUGAGUAACACGUGAGUAACCUGCCCUUAACACUGGGAUAAGCCUGGGGAACUGGGUCUAAUACCGGAGAGGAGCGUCCACCGCAUGGGGGGUGUUGGAAAGAUUUAUGGGCUGUGGAUGGACUCGCGGCCUAUCAGCUUGUUGGUGAGGUAAUGGCUCACCAAGGCGACGACGGGUAGCCGGCCUGAGAGGGUGACCGGCCACACUGGGACUGAGACACGGCCCAGACUCCUACGGGAGGCAGCAGUGGGGAAUAUUGCACAAUGGGCGGAAGCCUGAUGCAGCGACGCCGCGUGAGGGAUGACGGCCUUCGGGUUGUAAACCUCUUUCAGGAGGGAAGAAGCGAGAGUGACGGUACCUGCAGAAGAAGCGCCGGCUAACUACGUG
This 466-nucleotide ribosomal RNA is filed under the name uncultured bacterium. Its description in RNAcentral is "partial 16S ribosomal RNA". It matches the Rfam family "Bacterial small subunit ribosomal RNA", at positions 28 to 507 of the family's 1533-position model. The record is from RNAcentral.